Molecule: ribosomal RNA, 301 nt
Filed under: uncultured bacterium
Lineage: Bacteria
Description: partial 16S ribosomal RNA
Rfam family: Bacterial small subunit ribosomal RNA
Source: RNAcentral
CAGUCGCCGCGGGAAUACGUAGGGUGCGAGCGUUAAUCGGAAUUACUGGGCGUAAAGCGUGCGCAGGCGGUUGUGUAAGACAGGUGUGAAAUCCCCGGGCUUAACCUGGGAACUGCGCUUGUGACUGCACAGCUAGAGUAUGGCAGAGGGGGGUGGAAUUCCACGUGUAGCAGUGAAAUGCGUAGAGAUGUGGAGGAACACCGAUGGCGAAGGCAGCCCCCUGGGCCAAUACUGACGCUCAUGCACGAAAGCGUGGGGAGCAAACAGGAUUAGAUACCCCUGUAGUCCCUGUCUCUUAUAC